This 564-nucleotide ribosomal RNA is filed under the name uncultured bacterium. RNAcentral's name for it is "bacterial SSU rRNA". It matches the Rfam family "Bacterial small subunit ribosomal RNA", at positions 338 to 916 of the family's 1533-position model. The record is from RNAcentral.
CCUACGGGGGGCAGCAGUCGGGAAUUUUGGGCAAUGGGCGAAAGCCUGACCCAGCAACGCCGCGUGAAGGAUGAAGUAUUUCGGUAUGUAAACUUCGAAAGAAUGGGAAGAAUAAAUGACGGUACCAUUUAUAAGGUCCGGCUAACUACGUGCCAGCAGCCGCGGUAAUACGUAGGGACCAAGCGUUGUUCGGAUUUACUGGGCGUAAAGGGCGCGUAGGCGGCUUGACAAGUCACUUGUGAAAUCUCCGGGCUUAACUCGGAACGGCCAAGUGAAACUGUCAUGCUAGAGUGCAGAAGGGGCAAUCGGAAUUCUUGGUGUAGCGGUGAAAUGCGUAGAUAUCAAGAGGAACACCUGAGGUGAAGACGGGUUGCUGGGCUGACACUGACGCUGAGGCGCGAAAGCCAGGGGAGCAAACGGGAUUAGAUACCCCCGGUAGUCCUGGCCCUAAACGAUGAAUACUUGGUGUCUGGAGUAAAUAGUGCUCCGGGUGCCGUCGCUAACGUUUUUAGUAUUCCGCCUGGGGAGUACGCUCGCAAGAGUGAAACUCAAAUGAAUUGACGG